GCAAAGGAUUACAAGUUCCAGACCAAACUGGGCUACAAAACAAGAGCCUGUCUCAGAAAACGACAAUUUAGGGAUCCAAAACACUCCAAGGAACUCUAUAAAGCAGAACGAUAAGGCAGGACUCAGUGUGCCAGAGUGAGGUGUCCAUAUCUGACCCUAACAACAUGAAAAGCAAAGAUGUCCGACUUAAAAAUCAGAAAGGAGGGCCUCCCUGUUCUUGCAGCACUCUGGCUGACUCCUGCCUCGGAGGCUUGGCACCGGCUCCUCCCUCUGCCUCGUUCUCUUGGGUUUGCUUCUCCACCACCUUCUACUCAUUACUCACAGGGAACUUCUCAGUGAAUCUCCUUCUAACCCCUUCUAAGAGCACAACCACGCUCCAGCUACACAAAGGGAGACACUCCAGACUUUUCACUGCUACAUCUCAUGACUGCAACAGCAUCUGACAUCAAUAAAGUCUGCAAUUAAUCCAUGAAGAAUUGAUGCGUAAAUCACAAGUAAAUGUGAUUUACUAAUAUUAUAUUAUGUGACUUUCUAAUAAAUACAAACUAAGACACAGGACCAUCUGUAUUUUCUUAGUAUGAACUACAGGCUUAACUGUAAAUGGUUCAAAACCGAUUCAAAAUCAAAGAGAAGUCAGUCAACUCAAUUCAGCCAGCAUGGCAUUUUUAAAGAACACUGAAAUUAACACAAUUACAGAAGGCACUCAAGUGGACUUCCCUAGGACCCAAGAGGUCCAGUGGAGUCCACUCUUUAAAAAAGUCCAGGUGGGCUAUCAAAGCUUUGGACAACUAACAAGUUCAACAUGAGAAAAAUGUAUUUUCCUAAAUUCACAUUUUGAUUUUACUGACAGCUUUGAGACUCUGUGGGGAAGAGUCCUGUCAAAUCUGUCAGGGGCUUAUCCAACGCUUCUUGGCUACUUACAGGCAUGUUCAGAGAACACGCUGCCCCUCCACUUCUUUUUCUAAGCCCCAUUCUAAGUGCAAGGCAAACGGAAUAAUGAUCAUCGAUGAAAGAGGGUUUCUCGAGCUUUUAUACAAAAAAGGGCUGGCCAGAAGCCUGACUUGGUGGCUCUCACCUGUAUUCCCAGCUCUAGGGGGGGCUGAGACAAAAGAUCACCUGUGCCAUGAAGACACCCUGCCUCAAAACACAAUGUCACCGUCCCAGCAGUUCCAGCAGCAGGACCACACGAGGAAAAGCAGCACAAGACACCAAGGGAAAGGAAGCCAGGCAGGAACUGGAGGUAGGUGUUCUGCCGCAGUAA
This is a long non-coding RNA of Peromyscus eremicus (cactus mouse), 1261 nucleotides long. RefSeq lists it as uncharacterized. The record is from RefSeq and is a predicted model, not a curated record. Lineage: Eukaryota; Metazoa; Chordata; Mammalia; Rodentia; Cricetidae. The transcript has 3 exons.